Molecule: ribosomal RNA, 467 nt
Filed under: uncultured bacterium
Lineage: Bacteria
Description: partial 16S ribosomal RNA
Rfam family: Bacterial small subunit ribosomal RNA
Source: RNAcentral
GACGAACGCUGGCGGCGUGCUUAACACAUGCAAGUCGAACGGAAAGGCUCCAGCUUGCUUGAGUACUCGAUUGGCGAACGGGUGAGUAACACGUGGGUAAUCUGCCCUUCACUCUGGGAUAAGCCUGGGAAACUGGGUCUAAUACUGGAUAUGACCUUUCUCCUUAUGGGGUUUGGUGGAAAGUUUUUCGGUGUAGGAUGAGCCUGCGGCCUAUCAGCUUGUUGGUGGGGUGAUGGCCUACCAAGGCGACGACGGGUAGCCGGCCUGAGAGGGUGAUCGGCCACAUUGGGACUGAGAUACGGACCAGACUCCUACGGGAGGCAGCAGUGGGGAAUAUUGCACAAUGGGCGGAAGCCUGAUGCAGCGACGCCGCGUGAGGGAUGACGGCCUUCGGGUUGUAAACCUCUUUCAGCAGGGACGAAGCGUAAGUGACGGUACCUGCAGAAGAAGCACCGGCUAACUAUGUG